AUAUCAAUAAGCGGAGGAAAAGAAACUAACAAGGAUUCCCUAGUAACUGCGAGUGAAGCGGGAAAGCUCAAAUUUGAAAUCUGACGGUUACGCCGUCCGAGUUGUACUCUGGAGAAGCGUUUUCCGUGCCGGACCGUGUACAAGUCCCUUGGAACAGGGCGUCGUAGAGGGUGAGAAUCCGUCUUUGACACGGACCCCCGGUGCUAUGCGAUGCGCUCUCGAAGAGUCGAGUUGUCUGGGAAUGCAGCUCAAAAUGGGUGGUAAAUUCCAUCUAAAGCUAAAUAUUGGCGAGAGACCGAUAGCGAACAAGUACCGUGAGGGAAAGAUGAAAAGCACUUUGGAAAGAGAGUAAAACAGUAC
This 360-nucleotide ribosomal RNA is filed under the name uncultured fungus. Its description in RNAcentral is "eukaryotic LSU rRNA". It matches the Rfam family "Eukaryotic large subunit ribosomal RNA", at positions 40 to 398 of the family's 3401-position model. The record is from RNAcentral. Lineage: Eukaryota; Fungi.